GAUGUGUAGCUCAGCGGGAGAGCACUUGCUUUGCAUGCAAGAGGCCCUGGGAUCAACCCCCAGCAGCAUCU
This is a non-coding RNA of Melozone crissalis (California towhee), 71 nucleotides long. The record is from the annotation of a RefSeq genome assembly. Lineage: Eukaryota; Metazoa; Chordata; Aves; Passeriformes; Passerellidae.